Myodes glareolus (Bank vole) is the source of this 783-nucleotide long non-coding RNA. RefSeq lists it as uncharacterized. NCBI's taxonomy places the organism in Eukaryota, Metazoa, Chordata, Mammalia, Rodentia, Cricetidae. The record is from RefSeq and is a predicted model, not a curated record.
ACUAAGAAAUUAUGUCAAGCUCCCAUGGUGCCAAGGUGUUGUGACACUGUUUAAAGUCACCAGCUCAGACCACAGUGCCAGGACAUGUGGCAGUGCAGCUAUAGGAAGGGAAGCCACGAGGCCACUCAGGACUGGGGAAGAUGGACCUGGAGGAAGGCAGAGACUGAACAUGAGGCUCGUGUCCAGCUUCUGGGAAGGAACCCAAGUUCGCGGAACAGGUACCUGCCAGAAAUUACAAUCUGCUGUAAUGUGGUGAUGUGUUUUCCAAGAUGACAAUGCCACCCCUGCCACCAUCAGGACCAAGCACAACUACUACCAGUCUAUUGACUUCAAGGUUGACUGAGGCGGUGAGCUAGCUACACGCACACAAAGCACCACAAAGACAAUGAACACACGCUCUGCCUAACCUAUAUGCUAAGUGGUGAGAGGUGGGAGGGAGUUUCCUGAGGCCCUGGAAAAAGCUCAUGAGGUUGGUUUGAAUUCUGGAAAGAGGCCAUCACCCACUCCUUUUGCUUCUUCACUCCCUAGCCAGCAGGUACCCAGCUAUCACCAUACUUCUUUCCCAUAUGUGCACACGUCUAUGACUUUUCCAUCAAGCCUCAAGGUAAAGGGGAAAAGAAGCCAAGAGAAUCAAGAGGUCAAUACCAGCUCUGACAACAAGAUCUGGUCUCAAGCAGUAACAACAAAAAUAGAAGACACUGUUUGAAGCAGGCAUAGUCUCUCAUUGGGUAGAGGACGGGCAUGAGGCUUUCGGUGGCACUGAUUAAAUCAUGUCCCUAUGUG